This 449-nucleotide ribosomal RNA is filed under the name uncultured bacterium. Its description in RNAcentral is "partial 16S ribosomal RNA". It matches the Rfam family "Bacterial small subunit ribosomal RNA", at positions 29 to 523 of the family's 1533-position model. The record is from RNAcentral.
AACGAACGCUGGCGGCAGGCCUAACACAUGCAAGUCGAACGCCCUAGCAAUAGGGAGUGGCAGACGGGUGAGUAACGCGUGGGAACGUGCCUUUCGGUUCGGAAUAACUCAGGGAAACUUGAGCUAAUACCGGAUACGCCCCUCGGGGGAAAGAUUUAUUGCCGAAAGAUCGGCCCGCGUCCGAUUAGCUAGUUGGGGGGGUAAAGGCUCACCAAGGCGACGAUCGGUAGCUGGUCUGAGAGGAUGAUCAGCCACACUGGGACUGAGACACGGUCCAGACUCCUACGGGAGGCAGCAGUGGGGAAUAUUGGACAAUGGGCGCAAGCCUGAUCCAGCCAUGCCGCGUGAGUGAUGAAGGCCCUAGGGUUGUAAAGCUCUUUCGCCAGGGACGAUAAUGACGGUACCUGGAUAAGAAGCCCCGGCUAACUUCGUGCCAGCAGCCGCCGUAA